This 667-nucleotide ribosomal RNA is filed under the name Dermocybe sp. JFA11109. RNAcentral describes it as "eukaryotic LSU rRNA". The stretch from base 268 to 421 matches the Rfam family "5.8S ribosomal RNA". Lineage: Eukaryota; Fungi; Basidiomycota; Agaricomycetes; Agaricales; Cortinariaceae. The record is from RNAcentral.
UUUCCGUAGGUGAACCUGCGGAAGGAUCAUUAUUGAAAUAAACCUGAUGGGUUGCUGCUGGCUCUCUAGGGAGCAUGUGCACACUUGUCAUCUUUAUAUCUCCACCUGUGCACCUUUUGUAGAUCUGGAUAUCUUUCUGAAUGCCUGGCAUUCAGGUUUGAGGAUUGACUUUUGUCUUUCCUUACAUUUCCAGGCCUAUGUUUUCUUCAUAUACACCAUGUAUGUUAUAGAAUGUAAUAAAAAGGCCUUUGUGCUACAAACCUAUACAACUUUCAGCAACGGAUCUCUUGGCUCUCGCAUCGAUGAAGAACGCAGCGAAAUGCGAUAAGUAAUGUGAAUUGCAGAAUUCAGUGAAUCAUCGAAUCUUUGAACGCACCUUGCGCUCCUUGGUAUUCCGAGGAGCAUGCCUGUUUGAGUGUCAUUAAUAUAUCAACCUCCUCAGGUUUUUACUUGUCGAGUGUUUGGAUGUGGGGGUAUCUUUUGCUGGUCUCUUUUGAGGUCGGCUCCCCUGAAAUGCAUUAGCGGAACAAUUUGUUGACUCGUUCAUUGGUGUGAUAACUAUCUACGCUAUUGACGUGAAGCAGGUUCAGCUUCUAACAGUCCAUUGACUUGGACAAAUUUUCAUUAAUGUGACCUCAAAUCAGGUAGGACUACCCGCUGAACUUAA